UACGGGGGGGGCAAGCGUUGUUCGGAAUUACUGGGCGUAAAGGGCUCGUAGGCGGCCAACUAAGUCAGACGUGAAAUCCCUCGGCUUAACCGGGGAACUGCAUCUGAUACUGGAUGGCUUGAGUUCGGGAGAGGGAUGCGGAAUUCCAGGUGUAGCGGUGAAAUGCGUAGAUAUCUGGAGGAACACCGGUGGCGAAGGCGGCAUCCUGGACCGGCACUGACGCUGAGGAGCGAAGGCCAGGGGAGCAAACGGG
RNAcentral lists this ribosomal RNA (253 nucleotides) under uncultured bacterium. RNAcentral describes it as "partial 16S ribosomal RNA". It matches the Rfam family "Bacterial small subunit ribosomal RNA", at positions 524 to 776 of the family's 1533-position model. The record is from RNAcentral.